This 501-nucleotide ribosomal RNA is filed under the name uncultured bacterium. Its description in RNAcentral is "partial 16S ribosomal RNA". It matches the Rfam family "Bacterial small subunit ribosomal RNA", at positions 30 to 523 of the family's 1533-position model. The record is from RNAcentral.
AUUGAACGCUGGCGGCAGGCUUAACACAUGCAAGUCGAGCGGGGGAAGGUAGCUUGCUACUGGACCUAGCGGCGGACGGGUGAGUAAUGCUUAGGAAUCUGCCUAUUAGUGGGGGACAACAUCUCGAAAGGGAUGCUAAUACCGCAUACGUCCUACGGGAGAAAGCAGGGGAUCUUCGGACCUUGCGCUAACAGAUGAGCCUAAGUCGGAUUAGCUAGUUGGUGGGGUAAAGGCCUACCAAGGCGACGAUCUGUAGCGGGUCUGAGAGGAUGAUCCGCCAAACUGGGACUGAGACACGGCCCAGACUCCUACGGGAGGCAGCAGUGGGGAAUAUUGGACAAUGGGGGGAACCCUGAUCCAGCCAUGCCGCGUGUGUGAAGAAGGCCUUAUGGUUGUAAAGCACUUUAAGCGAGGAGGAGGCUACUCUAGUUAAUACCUAGGGAUAGUGGACGUUACUCGCAGAAUAAGCACCGGCUAACUCUGUGCCAGCCGCCGCAGUAA